GCUUACGGCCAUAUCACGUUGAAUGCACCGGUCCUCUUCCGAUCACUGAAGUUAAGCAACGUAGAGCCUAGGUAGUACUUAUAUAGGUGACCGCUUGGGAAACCUAGGUGCUGUAAGCA
Octopus bimaculoides (California two-spot octopus) is the source of this 119-nucleotide non-coding RNA. The record is from Rfam. NCBI's taxonomy places the organism in Eukaryota, Metazoa, Mollusca, Cephalopoda, Octopoda, Octopodidae.